This 60-nucleotide ribosomal RNA is filed under the name Entoloma furfuraceum. RNAcentral describes it as "partial small subunit ribosomal RNA". The record is from RNAcentral. Lineage: Eukaryota; Fungi; Basidiomycota; Agaricomycetes; Agaricales; Entolomataceae.
UUUGUAUAUAUAAUAAAAAAAAUACUCAGUUCCGUAGGUGAACCUGCGGAAGGAUCAUUA